Molecule: unclassified non-coding RNA, 212 nt
Filed under: plant metagenome
Description: partial contains small subunit ribosomal RNA, internal transcribed spacer 1, and 5.8S ribosomal RNA
Source: RNAcentral
UCUCCGUAGGUGAACCUGCGGAAGGAUCAUUCAUAAUAAGUGUUUUAUGGCACUUUUUUAAUCCAUAUCCACCUUGUGUGCAAUGUCAGGGUUGAUUUUUCUCUCGAGAGGAUCAGCCCCAAACAUCAACUAUAUCUCAACUCUUUGUCUGAAAAAUAUUAUGAAUAAAACAAUUCAAAAUACAACUUUCAACAACGGAUCUCUUGGCUCCC